RNAcentral lists this ribosomal RNA (110 nucleotides) under Vulpes vulpes (red fox). Lineage: Eukaryota; Metazoa; Chordata; Mammalia; Carnivora; Canidae. The record is from RNAcentral.
UCUACGGCCAUACCACCCUGAAUGCGCCCGAUCUCGUCUGAUCUCCAAAGCUAAGCAGGGUCGGGCCUGGUUAGUACUUGGAUGGAUUUGUCAAAGUGGUGCCAAAAGAG